CCUGACUGACUUUUCAACGAACUCCUUGCCACUGGUGGUGACUUCAACCGUCACUUUUCUGUCAUGCAUCUGACUGCAAGCUGUAAAAACUCUGCCGCCAUCAUAUCCAAGGCAGUGAGUUGUGAGGACUGCUUCCCUGACAACACUGAGUGCAUUCUGGAAUAUUCCAAAUGUGUGCCACUUCCAUACAAAAGAAGUUCAAAUCCUGCAAGAGAGUUCACUCACCAGUGGGCUCCAUCAACAGACCAGGGCAAAGUCGGUCUGUCCUGCUACUACUACAUGCUACUUGACUAUGUCUGGAAGCCAUGGCUGCUGCCCUCAACAUGCUAAACUGAAACCCUCACAAAUAAACUGAUAUCAAUAAUUGGUGAUAACAUAACAUUGAUGGUGAUGGUGGCAAGGGUGCCUUCAUAAGGUGCCAUCCAGAAAGUCCCAGCCUGGAGCCAGAGGCUGGCACUGCACGUCAGAUGGGGGAGGAUCUAUGUUAGGCAUCAGAAAGGUGGUUUAAGCAAGAAGGAAAGAGCUUCUGCAGACAGUGUUGCAAUUAGACACCUGACUUUUACUGCCAAAGGGACCAUCAGAGCACCUUUCCCUACCAUCUAUACCAGAAGAGUACGGACAAGGGCCCAAAAUGUUUUAAAGGACGUUGCACGCCCAGACCAUGGACUGUUUAAACCACUGUGGUCAAGCAGAAGUCUCUGUUCUCACUCGAGGCAGGUCAUUGAGAGGGGGCGAGUGUCACUGCGUAAGCCCCCUACUGCAGGCGAGAAAGCCAUGUUGAUUUGAAUAUUAAUUGAUAAAUACAAUAAAGGCCAUGUAACAAA
Alosa alosa (allis shad) is the source of this 824-nucleotide long non-coding RNA. RefSeq lists it as uncharacterized. The transcript has 6 exons. The record is from RefSeq and is a predicted model, not a curated record. Lineage: Eukaryota; Metazoa; Chordata; Actinopteri; Clupeiformes; Clupeidae.